GAUGAAGAACGUAGUGAAAUGCGAUACUUGGUGUGAAUUGCAGAAUCCCGUGAACCAUCGAGUCUUUGAACGCAAGUUGCGCCCGAAGCCUCGGCUAAGGGCACGUCUGCCUGGGCGUCACGCAUCGCGUCUCCCCCAAACCGCCAAGGCGGAGGGGAAGGAAGAUGGCUUCCCGUGCCUCACCCGGCGCGGUUGGCCUAAAUUUGGAGCCCGCGGCACUUAGCUCUCGCGGCGAUAGGUGGUGAACAAGGCCUUGGCCGUGCAAACAACCCGCUGCGAAGCUCUAUGUCACGUGCGCUCGUCGGACCCUUUGAAGUUGCCUUCGGUGACUUAAAACCUUUGCGACCCCAGGUCAGGCGGGGCUACCCGCUGAAUUUAAGCAUAUCAAUAAGCGGAGGA
RNAcentral lists this unclassified non-coding RNA (399 nucleotides) under soil metagenome. Its description in RNAcentral is "partial contains 5.8S ribosomal RNA, internal transcribed spacer 2, and large subunit ribosomal RNA". The stretch from base 1 to 120 matches the Rfam family "5.8S ribosomal RNA", at positions 35 to 154 of the family's 154-position model. The record is from RNAcentral.